UCGGGUAUAAUGAUGAGCAAAAGGCAUUUGCGUAGACUCCGUAAGAGUGAAAGGGAAGCUAACAUUGCAAAGUUAGCGUUGUGCAGAAAAGAUAACAGAUAACAGCAAUGAAAUCGAUUCUCCAGCCAGCUGGCGUUUUGAGCGGCUUAAACAUUAUUUUGAGUGAGGAAAUUGUUCUAGCCUAUAACGUCGAUGGGGUCCAAGGGAAGAAGGCCCUUAGGACCCACAAAGAAUUUUUUGCAGCUUUGCUAGAAUGUAUUCCGCCUGGCGAUGAGCCCCCCGAAAACACUGUGCGGAAGGCAAUGCAAAGGAUGAAGAAAAGGGUGUUUAAGAAGAAGUGUCUUGCCAAAAACCAGGC
Drosophila miranda is the source of this 358-nucleotide long non-coding RNA. RefSeq lists it as uncharacterized. The transcript is spliced from 2 exons. The record is from RefSeq and is a predicted model, not a curated record. Lineage: Eukaryota; Metazoa; Arthropoda; Insecta; Diptera; Drosophilidae.